This 405-nucleotide ribosomal RNA is filed under the name uncultured bacterium. RNAcentral's name for it is "partial 16S ribosomal RNA". It matches the Rfam family "Bacterial small subunit ribosomal RNA", at positions 30 to 526 of the family's 1533-position model. The record is from RNAcentral.
AUUGAACGCUGGCGGCAGGCUUAACACAUGCAAGUCGAACGAAUGGCGGAGGGGUGCGUAAUUCUUGGAAAUCUGGCUUAUGUACGGAGAUAACUCCGAGAACCUUUAGAUAAUACAGCUUAACAUAGGAUGAGCCCAAGUGGGAUGAGGUAGUUGUUGAGGUAAAGGCUCACCAAGCCGACGCUCUCUAGCUGGUCUGAGAGGAUGAGCAGCCACACUGGGACUGAGACACGGCCCAGACUCCUACGGGAGGCAGCAGUGGGGAAUAGUGCGCAAUGGGGGCAAGUUGACGGAGCCAUGCCGCGUGAAUGAAGAAGGCCUUCGGGUCGUAAAGCUCUUUCGGUAGCGAGGCGUUAACUACCCAAGAAGCCCCGGCUAACUCCGUGCCAGCAGCCGCGGUAAUUC